AAUUUUAGUUUAAGCAUUCCUGUCGGUUAUAACCAACAAGAAAGAUGAUUUUUCUGGCCAGCCCUCUAGCCCUCUCCGAUUCUGUGGGGCCCUCUCAGAUUUCACAGCCCUCUGGCCUAACCCUCGGUUGGAGACGGUUUUCAGGCUAUUUUCGACCUUCUGGCCCUCUAGACCCUUCGGUUGGAGAUGGCCUAAGCUUUUCGGUCAAGGGCAGCUACGACAAGUUCUGACAACUCAAGUGGUUGUAAAGUCUCCAAACUCCUAUCCUUGGAGACUUGUAGAGCCACUUGCUAGAACUUGUCAUAGCUACUUGGGGUUCGAGUAUAGGGUUUGUACUUAAGGUUCACUCACUCACUUCUUGUUGGAGUGGAAAAUUUCGGGUAUUUCAAUUUUCCACCAACGAGUAAUCUUGAACAUAUUAAGAAGCUUAAGACAUCAUCUUCGAUUGCCAUCAAUGAGGGAGGAGGGGUGACACACCCCGAUCCCAAUGUCUGAAGGACAACAUGAUGGCCAUGUGCUGGUCAAUACCUGAGGGUGACGCAAACCAUAUCAUUUAAUGCAUAUGCUGAGAACAUGUAAAACAUGCAUAUAAUUUUUGUGUGUAACCACGCAAAGUAAUAUCAAAAUGCAAAAUUUAACAAAAUAAUAGUAAUAAGGUACAUGUCACUAAACCAAAGGAGAAUAUUCAACUGCCAACAUUGAAAAAGUGAUAAUGCAUGAACAUGUUCAGAGCAUACUACUAAGUCGAAAUACAAGUAGAAGGGAUAUUAGAAAGUGCGAUUACAAGAGAUGUCCUACGCAGACAAGAGGACACAAAUUCAUUGAUAUGUGAAUGCCUCAUAGCUCAGAUCGUAUGCCUUGUUCCUAGGUCCUAAGGGGGCUCAAAAACAAAACAUGAGUGUACCAAGUUUAUAUAUAAGUAAUACUAAAUCACUUUCUCUUCAAAUGUACUAGCCCCCAGUUUUAGAAAACCCAUAUAGCAUAAUAAGUAAUAGGUUUUCCGAAAACCCUAGCAUGCCAUAAAACCUUCGUAAAACAUAUAUCAUAAAAAGUGUGCUAAGUAGUGAUAUCAUAAUUGCCAAAAGGCACAUCCAUUGCCCGCUCGAAGGCACAUACAUCGCCUGCCCGAAGGCACCUACAUCACAUGCCCAAAGGCACUACAUCGCCUGCCCGAAGUCACAUUGUAUGAAUAUCCACUAAGUAAGCGCAUAAAAUCAUGAACAUAAUCUUUCCAAAAUAUAUAUCAUUGGAGCUCAAUAGCUCAAACAUCAUAUCCUAAAUCCAUGUUCAUAAAUAUUUCAGUAAACGUAAAUUUGAUAAAGCAUGAUAUUGCAUAAAAGCAUAAAUCCGAUAACUCAAUAAGUUUUCAUAAAAUGUAGUCAUAAAAUCAUGCUUUUCAUGUAUGCAUUUCUAGUAAUAAAAAACAUACAUUUUGAAAGAGGUCCACUCACCAAUACUCCGUCACCGAAGAGCCGUUCAAACUAGAGAAGCCAGGGUUGCCACUAACAAACGCAUCUAACCAUAUAAAAGGACUACUUAGUAAAAAUAUAUUAAAAUGAUUGAAUUUGGGAAAAUGGAGCGCGGAUUUGGAAUCAGGACGUCGAAAUUAGUCUAAGAGGGGUCCCGGCCAAAACCCGAAAAAAGUCAACCAAAAGUCAACAUUGAUGGUCAACGGUUGACUCAACCAAGCCGAGCUGAGCCGACCCGAGCCACCGGAGCUCACUAGAAACUGAAAUUUUUGGCAAGAAGUUUGGGCAAAAUUCAAAGCUUCGUAACUUCGUUGUUUCAUAACAAAAUUCGACCCAUAAUAUAUUAAAACGAAGCUAGAGAAGUGUAGAACAGGAUUAAACCUGUUUGGAAUUCAAAAAGCCUGCAAAGUGUUAGAGGUUGCCAGAAACUGUAGAAAGUUCAAAUGGAUAUAACUUCUUCAAUACUCAACUAAAUAGAGUGAUUUAAAAACAAAAGUCAUACAUCUCGACGGGACGAAGAGAAUGGUACCUUUUCAAUGGCUAAAUAGUCAUAGUUUGGCCAAAAAAUGGCUUGAAAGUGGGCUGUCUCGCUGGAAAACUGGGGAAGGUUUCCCCAAGGGUUUGCUACGUCUAAACAUUACCAAAACUUCUCUAAACUACUCCCAAACAUACACUAAGACAUGAUCUACAAGUUUUGGAUGAGGCUUACCUUUGCCGAAGAAGGCAAGAAUUCACUGGAGAAACUCGGUGAACAGUGAUGAUGCCGAGAGGAAAAGAGGGGUUUAGGGGGUUUCAUCCUUGUUCUGGGUUCGUGGGUUCACCUAGAAGGGGGGGGGGUGGUGUCUUUCUUGUUGUUGUUGUUGUGUUGUGUUAUUUGUGUGUGUGUGUGCGCGCCCUUGGGGAGGGCAGUUUCAGAGAAAGAUAGAGAUGAAAGUUUAGAAAUGGAGUGAAUUGAUAGAAAAAAAGAAAAAUAGGGGGGUUCACACGGGAAGGGAUAGGGCCGAAGGACAAAGGACAAAGAGUGGGUUCCAGUGGCUUACAAAAUAAGACUACUAAAGACGAAAUGUGAAAUAUCUUCCAAACGUUUUGAAAAUCGUAAAAACUUCAUUCUAGUUCCAAAUUCGAAUUCACUAGCGUCCAAACGUUUGUGGCGUCAAGUACAAAAAGAAUAAAUUAAGAAAAUUAGUCAUAUGCGUCACGACGAGAUGGUCAACAAAAGUCAACGUUCAUGCUACAAGAGGCAAUUUGGUAAAUUCACGCAUUUAAUAAUACAAAUACGUAAAUAUUAAGACGGGGUAUCACAAGGGAGAUUUGCAAGAAAACACUCCAGCACUCAAGUCAGUCUUUGUUCAGGAUGCUUAUAAAAUUUAGAACGAUCGCAUACUUCCUUUUCUCCUCCUCUUGUUUUGGUGGGAUCCUAAACUUUUUAUAGGCAGAAAAGGCUUGGCUCCAAGUCUCAUUAUCUCACUUCAAGUUCCUUAGUAGUGGUUGAUUCAUGUUGCUUUAUUUAAGCCCCACUCUCCUAAUUUAGGAUGCAUGGGAAAUGACUAGUUACUUGACCCUUAAUAUUUACACCCACACUUCUCACACAUAAUAUAUCUAGUUAACGAUCUAGAAAAACUCUGAUGCCAUGUUAAAGUACACGUCAUUGCCAUUAUAAAUUAUAUAUUUAUCUCUCUCUUACCAAACUACUAUAUAGCAUAAAAUUAAUCAAGUAUAAUGAGUCACUACUCAUUUUGUUAAGUUUGAAAAUCCUUUAAGUUAGUUUCUUGGAGAAGAUUUUUAUGGGUUUAGCUCUUUAAACUAGUAUUCCAAGAGAUAUGUUCUAAUGUAGACAUUUUUACACUCUUCAAGGCUUUUAAGACUCCCUAUUAAUUUUAUGAAAAAAAAAAAAGAACUUUCACGAGUCUAUGUAUACUAUUAGUCACUUGGUUAUAUUCUAUUUGAAACGAAAACUACAUUAGUGUGAACGUAACCUAACCUAACUUAGAGUUGCCCAACUUUUGACAUAAAAUUAGAAAAGGGGCCAAUCCUUUACCAAAUGAUUUUGGCUAAAACCCUGUCUCUAUUAUUGUUAAUAAGCCGUCUCGAUAGAGUUGAGAAUAAAGCCAUCUCUAACCGAAGGGUUGAAAAACGCUCGAAAACCGUCUCCAAUCAAGAGUUAGGCCAGAAGGCUCAUGGGGCCCACAUAAUCUAAAAGGGCCAAAGGGCGAACCGGCUGG
RNAcentral lists this long non-coding RNA (3691 nucleotides) under Malus domestica (apple). RNAcentral's name for it is "long non-coding RNA (MDOM_LNC015848)". Lineage: Eukaryota; Viridiplantae; Streptophyta; Magnoliopsida; Rosales; Rosaceae. The record is from RNAcentral.